Molecule: non-coding RNA, 813 nt
Filed under: Pinctada imbricata (Akoya pearl oyster)
Lineage: Eukaryota; Metazoa; Mollusca; Bivalvia; Pterioida; Pteriidae
Description: 12S ribosomal RNA
Rfam family: Microsporidia small subunit ribosomal RNA
Source: RNAcentral
AAUUUGGUUAUGGUUUUUAAAUGGCUGCGGCGUAGAUAUAUAUCAAUGUAGGGGAGCCGCGAAGGGAAGAGGAGGCCAAACCCCUUAGAAAGGAAGAUCUCGUCUCAAGGGUAGAGCACUACGCAAUCAAUGAAAGUUGGACCGGGUCAUGCGUAUUAAAACGUUGCGAAAUGAGGUGCCAGCAGCCGCGGUUACACCCCUUACUGGAAGCCAUUGCAUUUCGGUGCUGUGAGGACAAAUGUGUGUGGGUUCAGCUGCAGGUUUAUGUUCUAAGGGUAAAAUCGGAAAAAACUAAGCACCCUAACUGAACAAAUGGUAUACUCACGAAGCCUAGGAAAAAGGACCGGGAUUAGGCACCCCGUUACUCUAGGUGUCAAUUAAAAACUGGGGACUACGAACUAAUGUUUAAAACCCUAAGAACUUGGCGGUGUGGUACAGUCCAGACAGGGGAACUUGACGCUUAAUUCGAUGGUCCGCGUUUAAUCUCAUCUUUUCUGGUAAAAUCAGGGGUAUAUCGCCGUUAAAGGCUAUAGCGAGAUCGGAUCAAAAUAGUCACAAUUGGUUUAUACCAGCUUAUUCAGGUAAGAUGCCCCCAAUGAAAAGAGGUUAGUUGAGUUACCAAAUAUAGUUUAUGGAAGUCGCUAAGGCAGGUGAGGCUGAAAGAGGACUUGUUAGUAAACAAAGAUUAAAACGCUUCGUUGAAUAGUGAAAUGCCAUGCGUACAAAUCGCCCGUCGCUCUCUUGGAAACCGGAGAUAAGUCGUAACACGGUAGGGGUAGGGGAACCUGUUCCUGAUUGAAGUUUUUGGUAAGU